RNAcentral lists this ribosomal RNA (356 nucleotides) under uncultured bacterium. Its description in RNAcentral is "bacterial SSU rRNA". It matches the Rfam family "Bacterial small subunit ribosomal RNA", at positions 29 to 374 of the family's 1533-position model. The record is from RNAcentral.
AACGAACGCUGGCGGCGUGCCUAACACAUGCAAGUCGAGCGCGAAUGGAGCAAUCCUAGUAGAGCGGCGCACGGGUGCGUAACACGUGGGUAAUCUGCCUCAAAGCCCGGGAUAACCUGCCGAAAGGCAAGCUAAUACCGGAUAAGCCUACGGACUCUUCGGGGUCUGAAGGAAAAGGUGGCCUCUGUAUACAAGCUAUCACUUUGAGAUGAGCCCGCGGCCCAUCAGCUCGUUGGCGGGUAACGCCCACCAAGGCAACGACGGGUAGCUGGUCUGAGAGGAUGGCCAGCCACAUUGGGACUGAGAUACGGCCCAGACUCCUACGGGAGGCAGCAGUGGGGAAUCUUGCGCAAUGG